This 253-nucleotide ribosomal RNA is filed under the name uncultured bacterium. Its description in RNAcentral is "partial 16S ribosomal RNA". It matches the Rfam family "Bacterial small subunit ribosomal RNA", at positions 524 to 776 of the family's 1533-position model. The record is from RNAcentral.
GACGUAGGGAGCGAGCGUUAAUCGGAAUUACUGGGCGUAAAGCGUGCGCAGGCGGUUUUGUAAGAAAGGUGUGAAAUGCCACGGCUUAACCUGGGAACUGCACUUGUGACUGCAAGGCUGGAGUACGGCAGAGGGGGAUGGAAUUCCGCGUGUAGCAGUGAAAUGCGUAGAUAUGCGGAGGAACACCGAUGGUGAAGGCAGUCUCCUGGGCCUGUCCUGACGCUCAUGCACGAAAGCGUGGGGAGCAAACAGG